This 162-nucleotide ribosomal RNA is filed under the name Sideroxylon inerme. RNAcentral's name for it is "5.8S ribosomal RNA". It matches the Rfam family "5.8S ribosomal RNA". From Rfam's summary of the family: 5.8S ribosomal RNA (5.8S rRNA) is a component of the large subunit of the eukaryotic ribosome. It is transcribed by RNA polymerase I as part of the 45S precursor that also contains 18S and 28S rRNA. The record is from RNAcentral. Lineage: Eukaryota; Viridiplantae; Streptophyta; Magnoliopsida; Ericales; Sapotaceae.
AGAACGACUCUCGGCAACGGAUAUCUCGGCUCUCGCAUCGAUGAAGAACGUAGCGAAAUGCGAUACUUGGUGGAAGUGCAGAAUCCCUGAACCAUCGAGUCUUUGAACGCAAGUUGCGCCCGAAGCCACCAGGCCGAGGGCACGCCUGCCUGGGCGUCUCAC